AGUCUGNAACCCGACUACAUGAAGCUGGAAUCGCUAGUAAUCGCGGAUCAGAAUGCCGCGGUGAAUACGUUCCCGGGUCUUGUACACACCGCCCGUCACACCAUGGGAGUUGGGAAUACCCGAAGCCUGUGAGCUAACGUAAGAGGCAGCAGUCGAAGGUAGAAUCAAUGAUUGGGGUGAAGUCGUAACAAGGUACC
RNAcentral lists this ribosomal RNA (197 nucleotides) under uncultured bacterium. RNAcentral describes it as "partial 16S ribosomal RNA". It matches the Rfam family "Bacterial small subunit ribosomal RNA", at positions 1302 to 1500 of the family's 1533-position model. The record is from RNAcentral.